CUUAAUUUUUCUUCUUUUUUAGUAAUGUUUUUAUUUUUCCUACCUCGUGCAGAUCAAAGAUUCUAUCGCUGACCCGAACAUGAGUGGAGACAGGAGAACCAACAAAACAGAAGAAGGAAAGCUUUUAAGGGAGCAGUUACUUUGUGGAAUUCAACUUUGUCGACUGCCUUAAAUCCAGCACCAAAAUGCUCAAGAAUCCCAAGUAAGAGGAUUAUAUGAGCUUCUAGAUUCUACAAGCAGUUUAAAAAAAGAGGUAUUGUACAAUGCUUGAGCUGGAUGUUUGCCCAUCAGUGUGAUGGGCUCCAUGUUUCAGUGAUCUAAACCGUCAAUGUGAUGGGUCCCACUAUUGAUUGAAUAUGUGCAUGUUCUCCAGGACUAAUGAGAAAGUAUGCAUGGAAACCGUUUUCAUUCAACCAAAAAAAGACCAGAUUUUCUACAUCUAGGGUCAUCCAAUCUGAGGGAUUUUUGGUGCUUCAACAUCCAUGUUGAGGGCCUUCAAUGGUUUGGAUCACUGAACCACGUGUGAUGGGUCCCACUCUACUGAACUGUAUUGUAGAAAGUAUCAGCCCAGCAUUGUAAAGCAACAUCUAAAAAAUUACAUGAAAAAAAAGAAGUUAGGUUAUCUAUCAAUUACCUCACUUGUGCAUCAAGUCAAGAGGGACCUGUUGGUAGUUCGCUGGCCCACAGGAAUUAGUGGUCAGCUCUGAUCUUUAGUGUUAUCGAAACCAUUCAUCUGGUGGGCACCACCAUAGGACGGACCGUGGCUUGUACAACAAAGCCAAUGGUUCACAUUGGUCUGAUCUUCUAAGAUAAUCGAAACCGUUCUUCUGGUAGGUGCUGUUGUAGGAUGCACAAUGGCUUGUACAUCAAUCUUAACCGUUCAAGCUGUGGUUUGCAAAUUUAUUUUAAAACAAAAAAUGGCCAACGGCCGAUGGUUGACAUUCAACAGGUACGAGUCAGAUCCAGUGGACCAUCCAUGGUGGGGCCCACUAAAUGAACAAAACUGAAUGCGAGGGACUACCAUUAUAGGUGGUCCAGCGGGGUUAUAAUAGUUUUCCUAAAAGUCAAAGUCAAACAGUGCGCACGAGUGGAUUUAAAUCCAAAUCAAAGGCCUUAGAUAGCUGUUUUUUGAAGGUAGGAAAGUUGAAAUUUUUAGAGCCAUAAGACAAUAGAAAAAUGAAAGGAUGUGAUGUGUGGAAGAAAGUAAAAAUUUACAGGAAUCACUCGAUACUCUGAAAGAGUAUGACUGCCCAUAUGCAUGCAGUAGAGCUGCUGCUACAUGUGCAAUACAUGUGAUCCAAUCCAAACUGUCCAAGUGGUGGACCCCAGUAUAGAUGGAUCAUAACCAGAAACCACACUUGAACAGAAGUUGUUAACUGUCUGGUUUAUGGCCAUUGAAUGGACAGUUAAAUGAAAAAUCUGUUAAAUUGGAGGAUAGGAUCAUUGAACCGAUUGAUGUUUAAGCUAUGGUCACUUUUUCAGUGGGAUCCAGUAUUUGGACCGUUAGGAUUGAGAUACGUGUGGCUGUUUGCAUGUGUAUGAAUAGUCAUACUAUUUCAGAGUAUCAAAUAGCAAGGAAUUUUAUUUAUAUAUUUCCUCCCCUUUUUCUAUGCAAUCUCUUGCUUUCAUCCACACAUGCUUCUCAUUUUCCUAUAAUCAGAUGCCGCAUUUGAUGCAUAUGAUUUCCAUGAAGUGGGUCCCACACACGUGCCAGCUUAGUCAUGGACGAUUGAGCAACUGAUCUGGUGGGCCACCUCGUGGAUGAUUUUAAACUCCGGAUCUUCCGGUCUUUGUUCGUUACUUCCAUUGAAUGUGGACCGUUGCUUAUUUUUCUCUCGAAUUUAUAGAUAGAUGGAUAUGAAAGUCUGAUCAGUUUGAUUUUUGGGCCAUGACCCAUCAACCCGGCGACCCACAAGAACAAUGGUCCCGAUCUCCUUACAGAAUUGCCACGUGGACGGUGGAUGUGUGUGGUUGCACGGUGAAAUGGAACGCACGUGAAGCACGCAUACCGUAGUAUCGAGCUGCACACGCAAACUCCCACGACGGCACGGCUUCUUAAAAUUGGGAGUUUGUAUUUGGGUAGGUGGGCCAUGGUCUCUAACUCCCAACAAUCCCAAUCCCCAAAAUCCUACCGUCGCUUUCAGUUUUGCAAUUUCCUGACCGUCGGAUCAAUUUUCUAGUGUUAAUCUCUGGGUGGGGCCCACCUCUAGGAUCAUGUUGAUUGGACGAUCCUAGCCAUCCUUUGGAGGGACCAUUGACUGCAAAUGAAGGGAUUCAUCAGGAGGGGAAAUGGGUCAACUUUGAAUGUGGACCGUUUGUCAAUUUCGUUUAGCCAUCCGUUGUUUUCAUUUGAUUGUGGCCCAUCUCAUGACUGUAGUCGUCUGAUUUUGGGGUCAUGGUAUAAUCCAUGUUGGGGCCCACCGGAUGAACGGCUCCGAUUUUGAGUGGAUUGGUCCAUGUGGGGAGUAGCCAGCAGGAUUAUGAGUUGGCUUAUGGAUUACAUUUUAGAAUUUCGAUGCAUGCCCGCAUGUGCAGCACUGUCUACCCACAUGCUCGCACACAUACUGUUAUGGCACGUGCGUGAGCUCAGAGUUCUCCAUCAGGUGGGCCGGAUCAUGUAGAUCUUUUGAGCUAAUGGUUGUGUUGUUUUACACUGCAUGUGGGCCCACAGCGUAGGAGAAAUGGAUGGCUAGAAAAAAUUGAUUUAGCUGCCUAUUUGUUUUGUAAAUUGUGGUCCAUCCGACGGCUGAAACGGGCUAAUAUUUAAGCAGAAGAUCGAUAUAGUGUGCCCCACCUGAUGGAAAGAUCGGAUCUUGCACACGUAGGAUGCAUUGUCCAUGUGCUUAUAGGUGAGUGGGUGGAGUUUCACACGCGUGUGGAUUAACAAACCUCCGUACGUCAUCAAACAAGCAAUGCCAUGGCUAGUCGCUACAGUCGCCACGUGAAUUCUACUCUCCACUCCUGCGUGCAUGUGUGAGAUCUGGGCCGUUAAUCAGGUGUCCAACCAUUUAAAUCCUGUGGUAAAAAAAAAAUCAGAUUGGUCCGCUCAUCGGGUGGGCCACACAUGUAUAUUGGAUGUGCCCAGUGGUCAGCAUGACUGGACUGUCGUAAUUUUUUUGUGAUGGGCAUACAAUGACAGGGCCCAUCAGAUGAACGGUCCGGAUCUCACAUGUUUAGUUCCCUGUAUUACGUGUUUUGGUUGGGUGGUUGCAGCGUCAAGCCUUCAAACCCAAGCAAUACAUUCCUUCAAUGCUUUAAAUUGUAAUCCAUUAAAAUAAAAUAAAUAGAAUUAUUUAUUGAGAAAUAGUCCAGUGCUCUCACAGCACUAUCAGUGAUAGUCCUCCCAGUUGGAUUGGGACACUUUGACUAUCUAAUCCAUUAAUCUAGACCGUUUACUAGA
Molecule: long non-coding RNA, 3400 nt
Organism: Magnolia sinica
Lineage: Eukaryota; Viridiplantae; Streptophyta; Magnoliopsida; Magnoliales; Magnoliaceae
Exons: 3
Source: RefSeq, a predicted model, not a curated record